Long non-coding RNA from Schistocerca piceifrons (Central American locust), 759 nucleotides. RefSeq lists it as uncharacterized. Lineage: Eukaryota; Metazoa; Arthropoda; Insecta; Orthoptera; Acrididae. The transcript has 2 exons. The record is from RefSeq and is a predicted model, not a curated record.
CGGCAGUCUGAAUUCGAUAGAUAAUUGUACUAACACAUCCAUCCCAACAACAAAAACAAAAAGACUGUAGCUCACAGGACAUAGAAUAUUCUGGGGGAUGCUGCAGUUCUCAACCCUUUGGUGCAAGUCUAUGGGGGUUGCAGCCUUGCUUGUCAUAGAACCCUCAAAGACUCUGGUUCAAUCCUUCCACUCAACUCAGAUCAGUUGUGGGGACACUGCUGCAAAUUGUGGGCUUCAUUGAAAGGCCAAGGCUGGUCAUUUCAACCUCCUCUGCCAGUUGCUGAAAUGAUUCGAGUAUGAACUCAGAGCCCAGAGACAGGACUCAUUUGGACCAAUGUUUGCCACAGUCUGCAGUCGGUUACGACCUGUUUCCUCAAUGGCUGCCGGAAUAAUCUCUUCAACAUGUUGAAUGAGGCCCCCAGGCAUACACACUGAGUGCAUUUUGUGCAUGAGGUUUUCUCUCCAAAUCAUUUACCAACAAGGUGGCUAAGCCAGUGUGAAUGCCCUGGACUCACAUUCACAAAGAAUGGGUUUCACAUCCUGUUUGAUCAUUCAGACUUAGUUAGGUGAAUGCUGGGAUGUGUCCUAUAAUAAGGCCAUGACCAACUCCUGCCCUACCCUUACAUAAUACUAUUAUACUUUGUAUAUAUUUAUUUAUGUAUGUAUGUAUUGUUUCUGUAAUGUGUCUGACGUGUCCUGUACUGUUGUGCCACUUGGUCAAAGGAUUAAUAAAUAAAUGCUUAAAAUAAUUUACAUUUA